This 507-nucleotide ribosomal RNA is filed under the name uncultured bacterium. Its description in RNAcentral is "bacterial SSU rRNA". It matches the Rfam family "Bacterial small subunit ribosomal RNA", at positions 35 to 518 of the family's 1533-position model. The record is from RNAcentral.
AACGAACGGCUGGCGGCGACGUCUUAAGCAUAGCAAGUCGAACGGCAAGAGGUAGCAAUACCUCCUAGAGUGGCGGACUGGGUGAGUAACACGUGGGUGACAUACCCUUCAGAUGGGGAUAGCUAUUAGAAAUAGUAGAUAAUACCGAAUACGAGCACAGGGGUUAGAGAUCUGUGAGGAAAGGAGCUAAGGCUCCGCUGAAGGAAUGGCCUGCGGCCCAUUAGCUAGUUGGUGAGGUAAGAGCCCACCAAGGCGAUGAUGGGUAUCCGGCCUUAGAGGGUGAACGGACACAUUGGGACUGAGAUACGGCCCAGACUCCUACGGGAGGCAGCAGCUAAGAAUAUUCCGCAAUGGACGAAAGUCUGACGGAGCGACGCCGCGUGGAUUGAAGAAGGCCGGAAGGUUGUAAAAAUCCUUUUGAAACUGAAGAAUAAGCGUUGUAGGGAAUGACAGCGUGGUGACAGUAGGUUUUGAAUAAGCAACGGCUAAUUACGUGCCAGCAGCCGC